UGAGGAAUAUUGGUCAAUGGACGGAAGUCUGAACCAGCCAAGUAGCGUGCAGGAUGACGGCCCUAUGGGUUGUAAACUGCUUUUAUGUGGGAAUAAAGUGAGGGACGUGUCCCUUUUGUAGGUACCACAUGAAUAAGGACCGGCUAAUUCCGUGCCAGCAGCCGCGGUAAUACGGAAGGUCCGGGCGUUAUCCGGAUUUAUUGGGUUUAAAGGGAGCGUAGGCCGUCUUUUAAGCGUGUUGUGAAAUACUGUCGCUCAACGACAGAGGUGCAGCGCGAACUGGGAGACUUGAGUGCGCGGAAUGCAGGCGGAAUUCGUCGUGUAGCGGUGAAAUGCUUAGAUAUCACGAAGAACUCCGAUUGCGAAGGCAGCUUGCGGGAGUGCGACUGACGCUGAAGCUCGAAGGUGCGGGUAUCGAACAGGAUUAGAUACCCUGGUAGU
RNAcentral lists this ribosomal RNA (441 nucleotides) under uncultured Prevotella sp. RNAcentral describes it as "bacterial SSU rRNA". It matches the Rfam family "Bacterial small subunit ribosomal RNA", at positions 355 to 794 of the family's 1533-position model. The record is from RNAcentral. Lineage: Bacteria; Pseudomonadati; Bacteroidota; Bacteroidia; Bacteroidales; Prevotellaceae.